GACGAACGCUGGCGGCGUGCUUAACACAUGCAAGUCGAACGGAAAGGCCCCCACCUUGGUGGGGGUGCUCGAGUGGCGAACGGGUGAGUAACACGUGGGUGAUCUGCCCUGUACUUCGGGAUAAGCUUGGGAAACUGGGUCUAAUACCGGAUAGGACCAUGGUUUAGUGUCUCAUGGUGGAAAAAUUAUUGUUUUGGUGCAGGAUGAGCUCGCGGCCUAUCAGCUUGUUGGUGGGGUAAUGGCCUACCAAGGCGUCGACGGGUAGCCGGCCUGAGAGGGUGGACGGCCACAGUGGGACAGAGAUACGGCACAGACUCCGACGGGAGGCAGCAGUGGGGAAUAGUGCACAAUGGGCGCAAGCCUGAUGCAGCGACGCCGCGUGGGGGAUGACGUCCUUCGGGUUGUAAACUCCUUUCGUUAGGGACGAAGCCACACCUUUUUUGGGUGUGGUGACGGUACCUUUGUUAAGAAGCACCGGCUAACUACGUG
This 489-nucleotide ribosomal RNA is filed under the name uncultured bacterium. RNAcentral describes it as "partial 16S ribosomal RNA". It matches the Rfam family "Bacterial small subunit ribosomal RNA", at positions 28 to 507 of the family's 1533-position model. The record is from RNAcentral.